CUAACACAUGCAGUCGAACGGGAACCUUGGGAUUAUCUUGAGGGGGAAAGUGGGAACGGGUGAGUACACGUAGUGUGACUGCCUCGAAGACGGGGAUAACUUCUGGAAACGGUAGCUAAUACCCGAUGGUCUCGGUGAUUCGGUUCAUCGAGUAAAGGUUCCGACGCUUCGAGAGGGGCCUGCGGUCCAUCAGCUAGUUGGUAGGGUAAUGGCCUACCAAGGCAGAGACGGAUAGGGGACGUGAGAGCGUGGCCCCCCACACUGGCACUGAGACACGGGCCAGACUCCUACGGGAGGCAGCAGUGAGGAAUAUUGCGCAAUGGGCGAAAGCCAGACGCAGCAACGCCGCGUGGGUGAAGAAGGCCUUCGGGUUGUAAAACCCUUUCUGGGGGACGAGAAAGGACGGUACCUCAGGAAUAAGCCUCGGCUAACUAUGUGCCAGCAGCCGCGGUAAGACAUAGGAGGCAAGCGUUAUCCGGAUUUACUGGGCGUAAAGAGCGUUGAGGCGGCCCUGUAAGUUGGACGUAAAAGCUCCCGGCUCAACUGGGAGAGGCCGUUCAAUACUGCAGGGCUUGAGGACAGCAGAGGGGGGUGGAAUUCCCGGUGUAGUGGUGAAAUGCGUAGAUAUCGGGAGGAACACCAGUGGCGAAGGCGGCCCCCUGGGCUGCUCCUGACGCUGAAGGCGAAAGCUAGGGUAGCAAACGGGAUUAGAAACCCCGGUAGUCCUAGCCGUAAACGAUGGAUACUGGGUGUGGGAGAGU
This 761-nucleotide ribosomal RNA is filed under the name uncultured organism. Its description in RNAcentral is "bacterial SSU rRNA". It matches the Rfam family "Bacterial small subunit ribosomal RNA", at positions 48 to 831 of the family's 1533-position model. The record is from RNAcentral.